This 23-nucleotide transfer RNA is filed under the name Correa pulchella. RNAcentral's name for it is "partial tRNA-Lys". The record is from RNAcentral. Lineage: Eukaryota; Viridiplantae; Streptophyta; Magnoliopsida; Sapindales; Rutaceae. RNAcentral also lists the same sequence under 2 other names.
CCGACUAGUUCCGGGUUCGAGUC